This 308-nucleotide long non-coding RNA is filed under the name Mytilus galloprovincialis (Mediterranean mussel). The record is from RNAcentral. Lineage: Eukaryota; Metazoa; Mollusca; Bivalvia; Mytilida; Mytilidae.
AUUCUAAUAUAUCUUUUAGAUAUAUAUAUAUAUGACUAUUACAAAAAUAAACCAAAACCCUGUUUUUCUCUUUUGGGACUAUCAUUGACAAUUCAGUCUUGACCAUAAACAGAGUAAAUCUAGAGAGGGAAUACAUUUGUUUUUUGAUAUACUAACUAUAAAUUAUCACUGGGUGAUAUGUGAGACUUGUAAAUGAAAUGAAAAUUCAAAUCUUCUAGCACUUUAAUAUUUGGAGACAAUUUAUAAAUAUUCAAAUAAUUAAGAUAUAAAAUAAUAUCAAAUUAAGUACAUUGAUAUGGAAAAAGUAG